AGCGCGGCGCCGCCUCCUCGCCGAUUUUGGGUUCAAAAAACCCCAAAAAGGGGAAACGAAAACGCCGAAAAUUCAAAUUUUUUUCCUGUUCGGGGGCCCCGGCCGGAACCAAAAAUUGCGAAUUUCGACCCAAAAAAUCGCAGCCGUUUCAGCCCCGGAGCAGCUUUGGGGGUCGCGCCAUGGCCCAGCACGAAACCUACGGCAACUGGAUCGGCCCCAAGCGCCUCCAGCGGCAGCCGGGAAUUUACUCCGUGGCCGGGAAGAUU
This is a non-coding RNA of Lonchura striata (white-rumped munia), 266 nucleotides long. Lineage: Eukaryota; Metazoa; Chordata; Aves; Passeriformes; Estrildidae. The record is from RefSeq and is a predicted model, not a curated record.